Long non-coding RNA from Maniola jurtina (meadow brown), 2710 nucleotides. RefSeq lists it as uncharacterized. The record is from RefSeq and is a predicted model, not a curated record. The transcript has 2 exons. Lineage: Eukaryota; Metazoa; Arthropoda; Insecta; Lepidoptera; Nymphalidae.
UCUAUAAUUUUAAAAAAAGUCACGUCCAUGUACCUGCGCAGAAAGCUUAUUUUUCAGCCAAUCGUAGCGCGCGUCCGUUCGCUAUUGGUUGUUGCCUACGCGCCUUAUUUUAUACGCGCGAGUUAUGAGCGAGAUAGCACGACUCUCUGUUGUUCUUGUGUUUAAAACCUUAACGUCAUGCAAUAAGGUAUGUAUUUCAUUGGUGUGCGUUCGGUUUUAGACAGUGUUUGGCAAAGCUUUUCUGCGCCAACGAAUUUUGCCGAUGCGAAUAAAUUAUAAAGUGGUAGUUUUUUGGUACUACUGUAGGCAUUCAAGAUCUUUGCAUUGUAACCCUCAUUAUUGCGAGCGAUACCGCUUCCAUUACGCCAGAUAUUCGUGAUGUUGCCAGUAUUUCUACAACUUAAGUUAAAUAAUAAGAAUUAUAAGUUAUGUCAGUAUUAGAGACAUUCCAAAGAAGUCUAAGCACAAGGAAAUUAAAGAUUGGUGGAUGAUUCAUACAUUUGCGCGCGUCAUUAAUAUAGGUAGGUACCUACUUUACCUAACUAAUGCAGUUGUUACCGUUCUUUACUUUUAGGCAAUGUAAAGAGAAAAAUAAAGGUUUUUUCAUUUAAUGAUUUAGGUAUGCAGGUUUUUUGGAAGGAUCUUGGAAAAUCAAAAAGUUCCUAAGGGAUGUUAAAAACACACACUCUAACGAAGUCGCGAGCAUUAGGUAACUAGUUAUCAAUAAUCCCUAAUUAAUCACACUAAAAAUGACACGCGCAAAUAUGUGAAUAUUCUCUAGGAUACAUCUGUUGUUUAUGGAAUAAAUACAUAUUUCUAUUAGGUAUAAUAAUAUAUAAAAUUAAUAUAAUCUGGAUCUGGAUAUAUUUGUGUAUUUGUGGCCUGGUCAGACAACGCUUGACGGCAGUCGUGCUGUCGUAAUGUUGUGCAGCACGACAGGACUUCAUAUUAAAUUCGUGAUGACGUAGCGAUGCGUUACGGCAUCAGCUUAGAAAUAUUUUUUUGUUCAAAUAAACUUUUGAAUCGCAAAGUGAAUCUACCAUUUUCGGAAUGCUCUUCCUACUGAGAAGAACCAGCAGCAAACGUGAAGAAUUAGAAAUUGCAAUAUGACGCGACGUUAUGGAGCGCUACUGCCGACAUGCGUUCACUGACUGAGGGCUUUAUUGUUAGGUAUUUUAUAAAAUUAACUGUAACAGUUGUUUUGUGUCUAUUAUUAUUACUAACACAUUUAACUAUGCCUGUCUACCUAUCACAACGUAAACCAUAGGGCUAACCGCACUUGAUUAUUUGUUCAUGAAUUUGUUACUAGUACUAAAAACCUACCUACUGGCCAAAUUUUGUGAUUCUAGGUCAACGGGAAGACAUACAACGAUGAACGAAGUGAUCCUAUAAGGGUUCCUAUUUUCCUUUUUAGGUACGGAACCCUAAAAAAUUACAAUAUGUAACAAUACAACCACCUUGGGUAGCUAAAAACUCGAAUUUCCAUUCGAAAUUUUAGUCAAAUCGGUUUAGUCAUUGUGGAGUGAAGGAGUAGGUAACCAACAUCCAAACAUUUGAUUUUUUUAAACAUUAGUAUGGAUAAAUUUUCGUCAUGAUCAUCUGUACAAUCUAGACCUAGUUGGUGACCUAUGGGCUGGAUUCCUAAUUAUUCCUAUAUUUUUUCUAGUCAUUUCGUUUAAGUUAAGAAUUUGUAGUUACGUAGGUAUCUUUGUUAGUGUAUUAGAUAUUAGUGUAGGUAAAUGUUCUAUUAUCAUUUCAAUUAAGUAGGUAAUCAAUGUUUUAAUCGAGUAGCAUAACUUCUCACCAACUAAAAUAUUAGGCAAUAUUUUUUCAGGAAUUGUUUUAUGUAUCAUUGAAAAUUAAAUUCAAUAUAUAUUUUGGCCUAGACAUUCAUAAAAUUAAAGCAUCUAUAUCAUAAUUAUGUAUAAAAUACUUUUCCAUUUUUAUAAAUGCAAAAUAAUUGAUAAUUCUAACAUUAUUCAUCUUUUUUCAUAUUCGUAGUCUAUGGUAAACACGCAUAAACGAAAUUUCUAUAUAAAUCGCUACAUAAUCGAAUUUUCAUGUGCAUUUAAGCGUUUCUACCCAUUCUAUACUCAAUCCACGGUCAGAAAAGAAGUUAGUACUUAUAGGUUUCGCUCUGAUUAUAAUCCCCUAAUACAAAUGACAGACAAAAAAACCGGCCAAGUGCGACUCGUGCACCCAGGGGUUCCGAACUCGGGUAUUUUUUUCCGGUCGGAUGGACAGACACAGACAGACAGACAACAAAGUGAUCCUAUAAGGGUUCCGUUUUUCCUUUACCAUUACCACGUCAACCAUUUGGAGUGGCCAACCAACCACAAACAUGUUUUCAAGACAUUCGAAAUUCAAUUCGAAAAUCUUUUCAAAAAACGUUGGUGAUUGGUUGGUGACUUAAAAAGAUUAAAGUCCACUAAGUUUUUUGUCUUUGUCAUUUGUAUGGGAUUACAUAACAGAGAGAGUCCUAUACUAACUUCUUUCGGUGGAUAGAGUAUAUAGGUAUACUGUUUCACUGAGACGGCUAAAGACGUGCAAAAUAAAGAAUUCAACGUCGCUUUCACCCUCUCGCAACCUGCACUACCUGUCACGAGCCGUCUCAGUCAAAUACCUACAACAAACACGAGUAUCACAGUCAAACAAUCAUACAGUUAGGCAGCGGUUUCAGUCACCAAUCACCAUCAUUAAAUAUUAUGUA